CUGCACUUAAUGCUUUGCAUAUUCGUGCACUUUGGGUGUACUUGCCCGUAUGGUUGGUUAACAUCAAUUUUGGUGGUCAUAAAAUGACUGGAGGAAUGUAGCUUCGAUCUCGUAUUGAAGUGUUAUAGCCUUCGGUAGAUGUGAUGAUCGAGAUUGAGGAUUGCAACGGAUACCCUUCGGGGCUACCUGUCUGGUCUCUGAUCGUUGCUCUGGUGCCGAAAGCUUGCUUACGGUUAUCAAAGUCGAUGGUCAAUAGGUUAGAACGGGUUAAAUUCGUUAAGGAUGUUGACGUAA
This 294-nucleotide ribosomal RNA is filed under the name uncultured fungus. RNAcentral describes it as "partial large subunit ribosomal RNA". The record is from RNAcentral. Lineage: Eukaryota; Fungi.